UGGGGAAUAUUGCGCAAUGGGGGCAACCCUGACGCAGCCAUGCCGCGUGUGUGAAGAAGGCCUUCGGGUUGUAAAGCACUUUCAGUGGGGAGGAAAGGGUGCCGGCUAAUAUCCGGUGCAGUUGACGCUACCCACAGAAGAAGCACCGGCUAAUUCCGUGCCAGCAGCCGCGGUAAUACGGAAGGUGCAAGCGUUAAUCGGAAUUACUGGGCGUAAAGCGCGCGUAGGCGGCUUGGUAAGUCGGGUGUGAAAGCCCCGGGCUCAACCUGGGAACUGCACUCGAUACUGCCGGGCUAGAGUACGAAAGAGGGGGGUGGAAUUCCAGGUGUAGCGGUGAAAUGCGUAGAGAUCUGGAGGAACAUCGGUGGCGAAGGCGGCCCCCUGGUUCGAUACUGACGCU
Molecule: ribosomal RNA, 400 nt
Filed under: uncultured bacterium
Lineage: Bacteria
Description: bacterial SSU rRNA
Rfam family: Bacterial small subunit ribosomal RNA
Source: RNAcentral